AUCCAGCUGACGAGUAAAUACAAAACGAAACACGCGUCCCGGAU
RNAcentral lists this non-coding RNA (44 nucleotides) under Schistosoma mattheei. The record is from RNAcentral. Lineage: Eukaryota; Metazoa; Platyhelminthes; Trematoda; Strigeidida; Schistosomatidae.